ACACAUGCAAGUCGAGCGAUUCUCUUCGGAGAAGAGCGGCGGACGGGUGAGUAACGCGUGGGUAACCUGCCCUGUACACACGGAUAACAUACCGAAAGGUAUGCUAAUACGAGAUAACAUAAGAAAUUCGCAUGUUUUUCUUAUCAAAGCUCCGGCGGUACAGGAUGGACCCGCGUCUGAUUAGCUAGUUGGUGAGGUAAUGGCUCACCAAGGCGACGAUCAGUAGCCGACCUGAGAGGGUGAUCGGCCACAUUGGAACUGAGACACGGUCCAAACUCCUACGGGAGGCAGCAGUGGGGAAUAUUGCACAAUGGGCGAAAGCCUGAUGCAGCAACGCCGCGUGAGCGAUGAAGGCCUUCGGGUCGUAAAGCUCUGUCCUCAAGGAAGAUAAUGACGGUACUUGAGGAGGAAGCCCCGGCUAACUACGUGCCAGCAGCCGCGGUAAUACGUAGGGGGCUAGCGUUAUCCGGAUUUACUGGGCGUAAAGGGUGCGUAGGCGGUCUUUUAAGUCAGGAGUGAAAGGCUACGGCUCAACCGUAGUAAGCUCUUGAAACUGGAGGACUUGAGUGCAGGAGAGGAGAGUGGAAUUCCUAGUGUAGCGGUGAAAUGCGUAGAUAUUAGGAGGAACACCAGUAGCGAAGGCGGCUCUCUGGACUGUAACUGACGCUGAGGCACGAAAGCGUGCGGAGCAAACAGGAUUAGAUACCCUGGUAGUCCACGCCGUAAACGAUGAGUACUAGGUGUCGGGGGUUACCCCCCUCGGUGCCGCA
This 770-nucleotide ribosomal RNA is filed under the name uncultured bacterium. Its description in RNAcentral is "bacterial SSU rRNA". It matches the Rfam family "Bacterial small subunit ribosomal RNA", at positions 51 to 850 of the family's 1533-position model. The record is from RNAcentral.